UACGGGGGGGGCAAGCGUUGUUCGGAAUUACUGGGCGUAAAGGGCUCGUAGGCGGCCAACUAAGUCCGACGUGAAAUCCCCAGGCUUAACCUGGGAACUGCGUCGGAUACUGGAUGGCUUGAAUCCGGGAGAGGGAUGCGGAAUUCCAGGUGUAGCGGUGAAAUGCGUAGAUAUCUGGAGGAACACCGGUGGCGAAGGCGGCCUUCUGGACAGUGACUGACGCUGAGACGCGAAAGCGUGGGGAGCAAACGGG
This 253-nucleotide ribosomal RNA is filed under the name uncultured bacterium. RNAcentral's name for it is "partial 16S ribosomal RNA". It matches the Rfam family "Bacterial small subunit ribosomal RNA", at positions 524 to 776 of the family's 1533-position model. The record is from RNAcentral.